This 1126-nucleotide long non-coding RNA is filed under the name Rattus norvegicus (Norway rat). RNAcentral describes it as "long non-coding RNA NONRATT006820". Lineage: Eukaryota; Metazoa; Chordata; Mammalia; Rodentia; Muridae. The record is from RNAcentral.
GACAUGACCUAUUUUAAUGGUAGAAUGUUCCUUUCCUCACGUUUUGUUUUGACUGUUUGGAGGAGUUGUUUUACUUUUUGCAAGUUCAUUCACUGACAACUGUUACCAUUGUUCAAGCUACAGCAAGAUGUGUGGCUCUUUUAAAACUUCCUGUGUAUGAAAAUUUUAUAUACCCUCUAUUAAGAUAUGACCUUAAAGUGGAGAUGUGAUUUGAUUUGGGUCUGAUUCCAGUUUUACCUUGAACGGAAUUUUUUUCUGAGAAAAUUUGUUUUUUUUUAAAAUAAAAAGCCCUGAAGGACAGAGCCCUAAAUAAAACACCCUUGCCGAGUUAAGCUUUGUGGUGCCGGGUAUAGAAGAGUUUGUCUGCUGGAGUAAUAGGACUCUGUGGGGAAGAGAAGUUCGUGCUGGACCAGAAAGACUGUGACCUUUGCCUCGCAUUUCCCUAAUUUCAUUCCAUGCCCCUGCUGAUGUCAUCGGUCGCCUGAGCAACCCCAAGCCACGCCCACCUAGAUAGGAACCAAUCACGUGGGUGCAGAACCUUAAGAUUUUUAACAUUUAGUUUGUAAAUGCUUUCACUGAUAUUUUUAGCUUGAAUAAAGCUAUAAUUAUUUAGUAGUUCUCCCUCAAUUUCAAGUUUACCAGCGUGAAGCAAAAGUGUCCUGGAGAUGUGCUUGUUUAAAGCUAGCCGCACCGGCUGCCCGUGCUGCCACGUGUAGUGGCUUUAGCAUUGAUGUUUGGAUCGGUUUGAUUUCCUUUUUUCUUCUCUCUGUCCUGCUGCCUCCAGAAGACGUGGUUUUGAAAAGUGUUUAGUAGUGGUGCGUGCGUGCGUGCGUGCGUGCGAGAGAGAGAGAGAGAGAGAGAGAGAGAGAGAGAGAGAGAAAUGUUGCUCUAAACCUGGCUGCAUAAGCAACAGUCCAUGAACUCUGCUGACAUUUAGAAAGCGAAAAUGAAGCUGCCAUGGUCAAAGCUAAGUUUGUCUCAAAAAAAAAAAAAAAACCAUUUAUUGAGUCAUCGUCUGGGUUAUAUGCAAUUUAUAUAUUUGUAUUCUGCUUUGAAACUGUAACUAGAUAAGUCUGUCUACUAUUUUUAACUUUACAAGAAUAAAAUAUUUUGGUAGCUAUCUCCU